UACGUAGGGUGCAAGCGUUGUCCGGAAUUAUUGGGCGUAAAGAGCGUGUAGGCGGCCCGAUUAGUCCGCUGUGAAAGUCCAGGGCUCAACCCUGGAAUGCCGGUGGAUACUGUCGGGCUAGAGUCCGGAAGGGGCGAGUGGAAUUCCUGGUGUAGCGGUGGAAUGCGCAGAUAUCAGGAGGAACACCGGUGGCGAAGGCGGGAUCCUGGGCCAGUACUGACGCUGAGGAGCGAAAGCGUGGGGAGCAAACAGG
This 253-nucleotide ribosomal RNA is filed under the name uncultured bacterium. RNAcentral describes it as "partial 16S ribosomal RNA". It matches the Rfam family "Bacterial small subunit ribosomal RNA", at positions 524 to 776 of the family's 1533-position model. The record is from RNAcentral.